UAGAGUUUGAUCCUGGCUCAGAACUAACGCUGGCGGCGCGUCUUAAACAUGCAAGUCGAACGGUAGUCCUUGAGCUUGCUUAGGGAUGAGAGUGGCGAACGGGUGAGUAACACGUGGAUAAUCUGCCUCCGGGUUGGGGAUAACUGUCCGAAAGGGCAGCUAAUACCGAAUGAGAUGGUGGUUACAUAAGUAGCAGCCAUUAAAGGUGGGGACCGCAAGGCCUACUGCCUGGAGAUGAGUCCGCGGCUGAUUAGCUUGUUGGUGGGGUAACGGCCUACCAAGGCGACGAUCAGUAGCCGGCCUGAGAGGGUGAACGGCCACAUUGGGACUGAGAUACGGCCCAGACUCCUACGGGAGGCAGCAGUUAAGAAUCUUGCACAAUGGGCGCAAGCCUGAUGCAGCGACGCCGCGUGAAUGAUGAAGGCUUUAGGGUUGUAAAGUUCAGUAAGCAGGGAAGAAUAAGCAUCGGGUAAUAUUCGGUGUGAUGACGGCACCUGCCUAAAGCCCCGGCUAACUACGUGCCAGCAGCCGCGGUAAUACGUAUGGGGCGAGCGUUGUUCGGAAUUAUUGGGCGUAAAGGGCGUCUAGGCGGGAAAUUAAGUUAGGUGUGAAAGCUAUGGGCUCAACCCAUAAACUGCAUCUAAAACUGAUUUUCUUGAGUUCGGGAGAGGAGAGCGGAAUUCCAGGUGUAGCGGUGAAAUGCGUAGAUAUCUGGAAGAACACCAGUGGCGAAGGCGGCUCUCUGGCCUAGAACUGACGCUGAAGCGCGAAAGCGUGGGGAGCGAACAGGAUUAGAUACCCUGGUAGUCG
This 810-nucleotide ribosomal RNA is filed under the name uncultured bacterium. RNAcentral describes it as "bacterial SSU rRNA". It matches the Rfam family "Bacterial small subunit ribosomal RNA", at positions 1 to 796 of the family's 1533-position model. The record is from RNAcentral.